This 21-nucleotide non-coding RNA is filed under the name Caenorhabditis elegans. The record is from RNAcentral. Lineage: Eukaryota; Metazoa; Nematoda; Chromadorea; Rhabditida; Rhabditidae.
UACAUUUUGAUUUAUGAACUG